RNAcentral lists this ribosomal RNA (492 nucleotides) under uncultured bacterium. RNAcentral's name for it is "partial 16S ribosomal RNA". It matches the Rfam family "Bacterial small subunit ribosomal RNA", at positions 29 to 507 of the family's 1533-position model. The record is from RNAcentral.
AGUGAACGCUGGCGGUAGGCCUAACACAUGCAGGUCGAACGGCAGCACAGUAAGAGCUUGCUCUUACGGGUGGCGAGUGGCGGACGGGUGAGGAAUACAUCGGAAUCUACUUUUUCGUGGGGGAUAACGUAGGGAAACUUACGCUAAUACCGCAUACGACCUACGGGUGAAAGCAGGGGAUCUUCGGACCUUGCGCGAUUGAAUGAGCCGAUGUCGGAUUAGCUAGUUGGCGGGGUAAAGGCCCACCAAGGCGACGAUCCGUAGCUGGUCUGAGAGGAUGAUCAGCCACACUGGAACUGAGACACGGUCCAGACUCCUACGGGAGGCAGCAGUGGGGAAUAUUGGACAAUGGGCGCAAGCCUGAUCCAGCCAUACCGCGUGGGUGAAGAAGGCCUUCGGGUUGUAAAGCCCUUUUGUCGGGAAAGAAAAGCAGCAGGUUAAUACCCCGCUGUUCUGACGGUACCCAAAGAAUAAGCACCGGCUAACUUCGUG